UCUAAGAAAACCACUGAUCAGUGAGGCUAAUCAGAAAAGGGGAUUCAGUUUGCUAGGUAGCAUAAAGAUUGGACUCUGGAGCAAUGGAAGGUCAUGUGGUCUGAUGAGCCCAGAUUUACCGUGUUCCAGAGUGAUGGGGGCAUCAGGGUAAGAAGAGGGGCAGAAGAAGUAAUGAACUCAUCAUGUCUAGUUCCUACCAGUCUGUGGGGGUUAGGGUUAUGAUCUGGGGUUGGUCAGGUUCACCAAUGUUAUGUUCCCAAAGAAUGAGGUCAGCUGAUACCUGAAGAUACUGAAUGACCAGGUCUUUCCAUCAGUGGAGUUUUUCUUCACUGAUGACAUGGACAUGUUCCAAGAUGAUGUUAGGAUUUAUGGGCUCACAUUGAGAAUGAGUGGAUCAGAUGGAUUGUCCUCCACAGAGUCCAGACCUCAGCCCCAAUGAGAAUCUCUGGGAUGUUCUGGAGAAGACUUUGUCCCACUCUUCCAUCAUCAAUUAAGAUCUUGGUAGAAAAUGAAUCCAACUCUGGACAGAAAUAAAUGCUGUGACAUUAAAAUGUAGUGUAGUCAAGAGAAAACAACCUGGAGAAGAGCCAUAAAACAAGUCAAUGAAACUGUAGACUUGUGUCAUUGAUAGGAACUGCUUUAGUGGAUUUGGUCAAAUAAACUGCCUUUAAAAGCUG
Long non-coding RNA from Acanthochromis polyacanthus (spiny chromis), 677 nucleotides. RefSeq lists it as uncharacterized. The transcript is spliced from 2 exons. NCBI's taxonomy places the organism in Eukaryota, Metazoa, Chordata, Actinopteri, Pomacentridae. The record is from RefSeq and is a predicted model, not a curated record.